Molecule: ribosomal RNA, 1100 nt
Filed under: Ceratomyxa amazonensis
Lineage: Eukaryota; Metazoa; Cnidaria; Myxozoa; Bivalvulida; Ceratomyxidae
Description: SSU rRNA
Rfam family: Eukaryotic small subunit ribosomal RNA
Source: RNAcentral
CAUGCAUGUCUAGUUCACAACGCAAGUUGAAACUGCGAAGCGCUCAGUAAAUCAGUUAUUGUCCCUUCGAUCGUAGUACCACAUCGGAUAACUGUGGCAAAUCUAGAGCUAAUACGUGCGAAAAUUACUACCCUGUAGUAGCAUUUAUUAGUAUAAACACACUCGUGUGUAGGUGAAUCUAGAUAACUUUGCAUAUCAUCCAAUUGGAUGAUAGUUCGAUCGAAUUUCUGCCCUAUCAUUUUGUCGGUGAGGUAGUGGCCCACCGAGGAUGCAACGGGUAACGGGGAAUCAGGGUUCGAUUCCGGAGAGGGAGCCUGAGAAACGGCUACCACAUCCAAGGAAGGCAGCAGGCGCGCAAAUUACCCAAUCCAGACACUGGGAGGUAGUGACGAGAAAUACCGAAUCAAACUACAUGUUUGAUACCGGAACAUACUUGAUUUAAUAAAUCUCGUUUUAAUUGGAGGGCAAGUCUGGUGCCAGCAGCCGCGGUAAUUCCAGCUCCAAUAGUGUACAUCAAAAUUGUUGCACUUAAAACGCUCGUAGUUGGAUUGCAGUCCGUCCGCCAGCAUGGCUACUAACAUGGCAAACUGGCAACGGAAAAUUUUGCAGGGCUUAACUGUCCGCUUAAUUGCGGACGGCUGAAUUACCUGCAGAGCGUGCCUUGAAUAAAGCAUAGUGCUCAAAACAGGCGCAAGCUCGAGUGUAAUAGCAUGGAACGAAUACACGCCACAUUUAGUGGUUGAUUAAAAGGAACAUUAGAGGGCAUUAGUACUUGAUGGCGAGAGGUGAAAUUCUUAGACCCAUCAAAGACUGACUACUGCGAAAGCAUUUGCCAAGAAUGUUUCAUUAAUCAAAGAACGAAAGUUAAAGGUUCGAAGACGAUCAGAUACCGUCCUAGUUUUAACUGUAAACCAUGCCAACAAGGAAUUAUCCCGCUUAAGGUUGGUUAGUUUCCACGCGAAAGCGAAAGUCUUCAGGCUGUGGGGAUAGUAUAGUUGCAAGGCUGAAAUUUCAAGAAAUUGACGGAAAGGCACCACCAGGAGUGGAGCCUGCGGCUUAAUUUGACUCAACACGGGGCAACUUACCAGGUCCAGUCAUUG